RNAcentral lists this long non-coding RNA (292 nucleotides) under Ananas comosus (pineapple). Its description in RNAcentral is "long non-coding RNA (ACOM_LNC021506)". Lineage: Eukaryota; Viridiplantae; Streptophyta; Magnoliopsida; Poales; Bromeliaceae. The record is from RNAcentral.
AAAUGGGUCUAACUGGUCUAACAACCAACACUUAUGUGCCCUCGGCACAAUCUGAUGCAAAUACAGAAAUCUGGGUCUACCGUCAACCGCGACGGCACCCGACAGUCCGAAACAGUCUAUACACUACUGUAAAAAAUAAACUCGGCAUCCCAGCACGAGCGUAAACUUAUCUUACACUAAUCUGAGUAUCCAUCGCAUACUAACAACGACGAUACAAUAGAACCACAGCUCCUAAAACUAAAUCUAAUAAUUUUCAGAAAUGACAGUGUAGGAUCUAUAUGUUUUCUCCUAA